RNAcentral lists this ribosomal RNA (402 nucleotides) under uncultured bacterium. RNAcentral's name for it is "bacterial SSU rRNA". It matches the Rfam family "Bacterial small subunit ribosomal RNA", at positions 355 to 749 of the family's 1533-position model. The record is from RNAcentral.
UGGGGAAUAUUGGACAAUGGGCGCAAGCCUGAUCCAGCAAUGCCGCGUGUGUGAAGAAGGCCUGCGGGUUGUAAAGCACUUUUGUUCGGGAAGAAAACGGAUCGGUUAAUACCCGGUUCGGAUGACGGUACCGAAAGAAUAAGCACCGGCUAACUUCGUGCCAGCAGCCGCGGUAAUACGAAGGGUGCAAGCGUUAAUCGGAAUUACUGGGCGUAAAGCGUGCGUAGGCGGCUUUUUAAGUCGGAUGUGAAAUCCCCGGGCUCAACCUGGGAAUGGCAUCCGAUACUGGGGAGCUAGAGUUUGGGAGAGGGUGUGGAAUUCCCGGUGUAGCGGUGAAAUGCGUAGAGAUCGGGAGGAACAUCGAGUGGCGAAGGCGGCCACCUGGCCUAAACUGACGCGUGA